GGCCAGCCGACGCCUGCCCUUCGGCCGAAUGACCCACCGCUGCCGCGCCGCCACCUCUGCACCUGCCUGGCUGAGGAAAGGAAAAGACUUUCGGGGGUUUAGAAGAAGACAAGUCUUCCGGCUUGCCCUUGGGGCCCGCCCCAAAGAGCGAAGGAAGCCCAGUGGGUACGUGGCGGGCGCCCUAUGCGUCUUGCAGGGAAAGUAGGCUGCAGACACGCGAGAGAAAAAACAACUACACUCCGCCUCUUGGCUCCACAAUAACCGUGCAGCGAAAACGGAGAGAAGGUCAGCCCCUCUCCAGGACUCAGCCCAACCUGGAUUCAGCUUCUUCGGCCGCACAAACUCCCAAGCUCUGAGAACACGCGGCGCACCCCGCGCGCCUCGCGGCGAAGGCACUCGGGCCACACUGCUGAGUUCUCCCCGUGGCGAAUGCGCUUCGCUUAAGGAAAGCAAUUGAGAGCCGGAAGGAGUCCAACCUAAUCGACCAGGCCUGCAGAGUCGCCUAGUUGGCCUGUCACAUAUCCACAGUCAAGAUCCUCGCUAUUCUCUGCCCAGAGAGCCUGGGAUUGACCCGGAAGCCCCGAAUAAUUCGAAUCCUAUCCUAGUUCACUCCAGUCCUGGCAGCAGAAGCGACCUGCAGCCUGAGAGCAGGGGAGGCUGACAAGGAGCCUCUGGCAGCUACUUGAGUAGGGACAAGGCGAUUUGGUGGUGUCUCCGAGGUUUAUGUGGAUAUCUGAUGACCCGACGUCCUGUCGGUGAUUAGCCACCCUCACCCACGCGCAGGAGCCUCGGGGCUCUGAUUCUAACGCCCGCGUGGAAUUGGUCAAGUCGAGGUUUCUCCACGCGCCCAGGACCAGCUAGGCGCUUCCCCGCUGCGCACCCCUCAAAGUUGAAGGGGAAGAUAAUUUCAAAUACACUGGUCAAAAUUCACUGUUGAGAACACUUUGAAGUUGGCUGUGACUGCGCCACUCUCUCUUGCUUCCUCCCCCAACUCCCCGCUGGACCAGAUGCACCAGAGAGCCGCGCUUUGAUCUUGCAAAGCAGCAAUUUAUAUUUCUUUAAAAUUUUUUUUCUGUAAAAAGAUGAUUGGAUCUGGGAGAAUAUAAUGUAAUUCCGCGAACGCAGGGCUGAGGAGAGAUUUUCUGGGCCGGCCAGGGCUGGGCCCGAG
This is a long non-coding RNA of Bos indicus x Bos taurus (hybrid cattle), 1168 nucleotides long. The record is from Ensembl. NCBI's taxonomy places the organism in Eukaryota, Metazoa, Chordata, Mammalia, Artiodactyla, Bovidae.